GGCGGCGUGCCNAAUACAUGCAAGUCGAGCGCAGGNAAGCCGUUCUGAACCCUUCGGGGGGACGACGGUGGAAUGAACGGCGGACGGGUGAGUAACACGUAAAGAACCUGCCCAUAGGUCUGGGAUAACCACGAAAAAUCGGGGCUAAUACCGGAUGUGUCNUCGGACCGCAUGGUCCGUUGAUGAAAGGCNCUUCGGCGUCGCCCAUGGAUGGCUUUGCGGUNCAUUAGCUAGUUGGUGGGGUAACGGCCCACCAANGCGACGAUGCAUANCCGAACNGAAAAGGUGAUCGGCCACACUGGGACUGAGACACAGCCCANACUCCUACCGGGAAGCACC
RNAcentral lists this ribosomal RNA (339 nucleotides) under uncultured bacterium US3. Its description in RNAcentral is "partial 16S ribosomal RNA". It matches the Rfam family "Bacterial small subunit ribosomal RNA", at positions 38 to 352 of the family's 1533-position model. The record is from RNAcentral.